ACGUUAAAGGGCCGCGGUAUUUUGACCGUGCAAAGGUAGCAUAAUCAUUAGUCUUUUAAUUGAAGGCUGGAAUGAAUGGUUUGACGAAAUAUUAACUGUCUCUUUAUAAAAAAAUAAAAUUUAACUUCUGAGUUAAAAGGCUUAGAUGAUUGUAAAAGACGAGAAGACCCUAUAGAUCUUUAUACACAUGUAUAUUUAUUUUGUUUAGGUGGGAUUUUAAUGAAUAUACUAGUGUAUUUUGUUGGGGUGACAUGAAGAUAAAAUUAACUCUUUAUUGAUAAUACAUUGAUGUAUGAAUAGUUGAUCCGUUAUUAACGAUUAUAAGAUAAAGUUACCUUAGGGAUAACAGCGUAAUUUUUUUUGAGAGUUCUUAUCGACAAAAAAGAUUGCGACCUCGA
This 398-nucleotide ribosomal RNA is filed under the name Eupholidoptera krueperi. RNAcentral's name for it is "partial 16S ribosomal RNA". It matches the Rfam family "Bacterial large subunit ribosomal RNA", at positions 1920 to 2529 of the family's 2925-position model. The record is from RNAcentral. Lineage: Eukaryota; Metazoa; Arthropoda; Insecta; Orthoptera; Tettigoniidae.